RNAcentral lists this ribosomal RNA (2647 nucleotides) under Shigella sonnei. Its description in RNAcentral is "bacterial LSU rRNA". It matches the Rfam family "Bacterial large subunit ribosomal RNA". The record is from RNAcentral. Lineage: Bacteria; Pseudomonadati; Pseudomonadota; Gammaproteobacteria; Enterobacterales; Enterobacteriaceae.
UUAAGCGACUAAGCGUACACGGUGGAUGCCCUGGCAGUCAGAGGCGAUGAAGGACGUGCUAAUCUGCGAUAAGCGUCGGUAAGGUGAUAUGAACCGUUAUAACCGGCGAUUUCCGAAUGGGGAAACCCAGUGUGAUUCGUCACACUAUCAUUAACUGAAUCCAUAGGAGGCUAAAUACUCCUGACUGACCGAUAGUGAACCAGUACCGUGAGGGAAAGGCGAAAAGAACCCCGGCGAGGGGAGUGAAAAAGAACCUGAAACCGUGUACGUACAAGCAGUGGGAGCACGCUUAGGCGUGUGACUGCGUACCUUUUGUAUAAUGGGUCAGCGACUUAUAUUCUGUAGCAAGGUUAACCGAAUAGGGGAGCCGAAGGGAAACCGAGUCUUAACUGGGCGUUAAGUUGCAGGGUAUAGACCCGAAACCCGGUGAUCUAGCCAUGGGCAGGUUGAAGGUUGGGUAACACUAACUGGAGGACCGAACCGACUAAUGUUGAAAAAUUAGCGGAUGACUUGUGGCUGGGGGUGAAAGGCCAAUCAAACCGGGAGAUAGCUGGUUCUCCCCGAAAGCUAUUUAGGUAGCGCCUCGUGAAUUCAUCUCCGGGGGUAGAGCACUGUUUCGGCAAGGGGGUCAUCCCGACUUACCAACCCGAUGCAAACUGCGAAUACCGGAGAAUGUUAUCACGGGAGACACACGGCGGGUGCUAACGUCCGUCGUGAAGAGGGAAACAACCCAGACCGCCAGCUAAGGUCCCAAAGUCAUGGUUAAGUGGGAAACGAUGUGGGAAGGCCCAGACAGCCAGGAUGUUGGCUUAGAAGCAGCCAUCAUUUAAAGAAAGCGUAAUAGCUCACUGGUCGAGUCGGCCUGCGCGGAAGAUGUAACGGGGCUAAACCAUGCACCGAAGCUGCGGCAGCGACGCUUAUGCGUUGUUGGGUAGGGGAGCGUUCUGUAAGCCUGCGAAGGUGUGCUGUGAGGCAUGCUGGAGGUAUCAGAAGUGCGAAUGCUGACAUAAGUAACGAUAAAGCGGGUGAAAAGCCCGCUCGCCGGAAGACCAAGGGUUCCUGUCCAACGUUAAUCGGGGCAGGGUGAGUCGACCCCUAAGGCGAGGCCGAAAGGCGUAGUCGAUGGGAAACAGGUUAAUAUUCCUGUACUUGGUGUUACUGCGAAGGGGGGACGGAGAAGGCUAUGUUGGCCGGGCGACGGUUGUCCCGGUUUAAGCGUGUAGGCUGGUUUUCCAGGCAAAUCCGGAAAAUCAAGGCUGAGGCGUGAUGACGAGGCACUACGGUGCUGAAGCAACAAAUGCCCUGCUUCCAGGAAAAGCCUCUAAGCAUCAGGUAACAUCAAAUCGUACCCCAAACCGACACAGGUGGUCAGGUAGAGAAUACCAAGGCGCUUGAGAGAACUCGGGUGAAGGAACUAGGCAAAAUGGUGCCGUAACUUCGGGAGAAGGCACGCUGAUAUGUAGGUGAAGUCCCUUGCGGAUGGAGCUGAAAUCAGUCGAAGAUACCAGCUGGCUGCAACUGUUUAUUAAAAACACAGCACUGUGCAAACACGAAAGUGGACGUAUACGGUGUGACGCCUGCCCGGUGCCGGAAGGUUAAUUGAUGGGGUCAGCGCAAGCGAAGCUCUUGAUCGAAGCCCCGGUAAACGGCGGCCGUAACUAUAACGGUCCUAAGGUAGCGAAAUUCCUUGUCGGGUAAGUUCCGACCUGCACGAAUGGCGUAAUGAUGGCCAGGCUGUCUCCACCCGAGACUCAGUGAAAUUGAACUCGCUGUGAAGAUGCAGUGUACCCGCGGCAAGACGGAAAGACCCCGUGAACCUUUACUAUAGCUUGACACUGAACAUUGAGCCUUGAUGUGUAGGAUAGGUGGGAGGCUUUGAAGUGUGGACGCCAGUCUGCAUGGAGCCGGCCUUGAAAUACCACCCUUUAAUGUUUGAUGUUCUAACGUGGACCCGUGAUCCGGGUUGCGGACAGUGUCUGGUGGGUAGUUUGACUGGGGCGGUCUCCUCCUAAAGAGUAACGGAGGAGCACGAAGGUUGGCUAAUCCUGGUCGGACAUCAGGAGGUUAGUGCAAUGGCAUAAGCCAGCUUGACUGCGAGCGUGACGGCGCGAGCAGGUGCGAAAGCAGGUCAUAGUGAUCCGGUGGUUCUGAAUGGAAGGGCCAUCGCUCAACGGAUAAAAGGUACUCCGGGGAUAACAGGCUGAUACCGCCCAAGAGUUCAUAUCGACGGCGGUGUUUGGCACCUCGAUGUCGGCUCAUCACAUCCUGGGGCUGAAGUAGGUCCCAAGGGUAUGGCUGUUCGCCAUUUAAAGUGGUACGCGAGCUGGGUUUAGAACGUCGUGAGACAGUUCGGUCCCUAUCUGCCGUGGGCGCUGGAGAACUGAGGGGGGCUGCUCCUAGUACGAGAGGACCGGAGUGGACGCAUCACUGGUGUUCGGGUUGUCAUGCCAAUGGCACUGCCCGGUAGCUAAAUGCGGAAGAGAUAAGUGCUGAAAGCAUCUAAGCACGAAACUUGCCCCGAGAUGAGUUCUCCCUGACCCUUUAAGGGUCCUGAAGGAACGUUGAAGACGACGACGUUGAUAGGCCGGGUGUGUAAGCGCAGCGAUGCGUUGAGCUAACCGGUACUAAUGAACCGUGAGGCUUAACC